AACGCACAUUGCGCCCGCUAGUAUUCUGGCGGGCAUGCCUGUUCGAGCGUCAUUUCAACCAUCAAGCGCCUGCGCUUGUGUUGGAGCCCUGCGGCUGCCGCAGGCUCCCAAACCCAGUGGCGGGCUCGUCGUCGUACCGAGUGCAGUAAACUUACCACGCUCAGGGCACGCGACGGGUAACCGGCCGUAAAACCCCCCCCUUCUCAAGGUUGACCUCGGAUCAGGUAGGAAUACCCGCUGAACUUAA
Molecule: unclassified non-coding RNA, 247 nt
Filed under: uncultured fungus
Lineage: Eukaryota; Fungi
Also listed under: 1 other name
Description: partial contains 5.8S ribosomal RNA, internal transcribed spacer 2, and large subunit ribosomal RNA
Source: RNAcentral